CCUACGGGUGGCAGCAGUAGGGAAUCUUCCGCAAUGGACGAAAGUCUGACGGAGCAACGCCGCGUGAGCGAUGAAGGCCUUCGGGUCGUAAAGCUCUGUUGUUAGGGAAGAACAAGUACCGGAGUAACUGCCGGUACCUUGACGGUACCUAACCAGAAAGCCACGGCUAACUACGUGCCAGCAGCCGCGGUAAUACGUAGGUGGCAAGCGUUGUCCGGAAUUAUUGGGCGUAAAGCGCGCGCAGGCGGUCCUUUAAGUCUGAUGUGAAAGCCCACGGCUCAACCGUGGAGGGUCAUUGGAAACUGGGGGACUUGAGUACAGAAGAGGAAAGCGGAAUUCCACGUGUAGCGGUGAAAUGCGUAGAGAUGUGGAGGAACACCAGUGGCGAAGGCGGCUUUCUGGUCUGUAACUGACGCUGAGGCGCGAAAGCGUGGGGAGCA
This 440-nucleotide ribosomal RNA is filed under the name uncultured bacterium. RNAcentral's name for it is "bacterial SSU rRNA". It matches the Rfam family "Bacterial small subunit ribosomal RNA", at positions 338 to 770 of the family's 1533-position model. The record is from RNAcentral.